Molecule: long non-coding RNA, 860 nt
Organism: Epinephelus moara (kelp grouper)
Lineage: Eukaryota; Metazoa; Chordata; Actinopteri; Perciformes; Serranidae
Exons: 3
Source: RefSeq, a predicted model, not a curated record
UAUUUACGUUUUUCCCUUUAAUUGUGUUAAUAUUUAUUAGAUUUUAUUUGUAUUUUAUUUUAUUAUUAAUAUUUAUUUUUUGUAUGUAUUAUUCACACCUGUACUCACACUGUUUCAAUAAAAAAAAAUUUGAUCACAAAAAAAUAAAAUAAAAUUAGAUGGUACAUUAUCCUGAAAUGCAACUGGUUUUAACAGUAUGUUGACCCUCACUGCUUUAACACUUGUCCAGUUGGAUGACUUGGGUGUUUUAAAUUAUGUCCUCUCAGUCCUUAAAGUCCUGUACUGCACAUUGUGGGGGCUUGGCCACCAAACAGUGUGUUGUGUAAGUUUUAACAAACGUUACUCACUCAAGUUUACCACUAGGUUGUCAAGGAUGAAAAUGAAGUCACAGGAAUGGUAACAGUUUAACAGAUGCUGCCGAAGAUGUGUAAAGAGACGGGGACAACAGCUAUCUACACCAAUCACAGCCUCAGGGCGACUGCCAUACAGAAGCUGUCAGAUGCAGGUCUUGAAGCGAAGGAGAUCAUGACAGUGAGUGGGCACAGGUCUGAGAGCUCGUUAAAAAGCUACUGGAAGCCAUCCAUGGAGAGCAGAAAACGAUGGAGCAACAUACUGUCAGAUCAGAAGGCAGAGUCAGCUGUGCCUGUGAAGCGACAGUCCACCAUGCAGUCACCAGAGACUUAUUUCACCGGCUGCACAAUUAAUGCAAAUGUGCAGAUAAAUGUGUAUAAAGAGUAAGUGCCUGGCGCACCAUGUCUGCGUUACAUAGCAACGGUGACAGCGGAGUCCUGAGGGAACUAUUUUUGUUGGCGGAAGACAAAUAAAAUGCUUAAAUUAUCUAUUUUGUCCUCAUUUUUCAA